Long non-coding RNA from Venturia canescens, 786 nucleotides. RefSeq lists it as uncharacterized. The transcript is spliced from 2 exons. The record is from RefSeq and is a predicted model, not a curated record. Lineage: Eukaryota; Metazoa; Arthropoda; Insecta; Hymenoptera; Ichneumonidae.
AAUCGUCUUGUACGCAUACUUGGCCUUGGACGAUACAUUUUUUCGCUCGGCUCCGAGCCGUAGGGAUGACUAGAGCGGAACCGAACGGGAAGCAAAUUUUGACAUAAUUCCGGUCUCUCUGAAGCAAGCAAAUAUUGAUGCUGGUGAACGCUUGCAGGCGGAUAUUAAAAACGACGGGGAAGUUUAUACUUUGAGAGGGAUAAGAAUAUUUGUGGAUUCGUUUGAGCACGCGGUCGGAUCAAACCGGUAGGCGUCGUCGUCGAACGUGCCCCAGUUCGAGGCCUAGUUCUUCAGCGACGAAGAUCGCUUGCGUUUUGUUCCUUUGCGAUUUAUACUCACUUCGUGUACGCUCAUCGUUAAGGUUCCGACGCUUUAAGCGGGGAAACCACAUUAGGAGGGUCGUUUUUUUGUUUAGUGCAUAAAUCCUUAGCUUAGCUUAACUGUCCAAGAAUACGCUGUAAAAAUUUCAAAGCAAAAUUCGCAUUCGUUCAGAUUUUAUGAGCAUAUGCAAAACCGAGCGCACCAUCGGGUACAGACUCGAGCGCAUAUAGGGCGGAGCACUACCUCAGGUAGUCCUGCGCAAAACAAAGCCUAUGAAGAAGAAGAAGGAUUGCUGUAUGGUGCCGGAAUCGCAGAUUAAUCGUUGAAAAUCGAAAUGGCUACAAUGUACGCAAUUGGAAAACGAAACUCACAACCCUUCAGCGGACAUCACAGUGUAACGUUGUUAUUUUGGGACGAAAUUAUGUAAAAAAAAUCAUAAGAAAUAUAAACGAAAUGAUGUCAAAA